This 3348-nucleotide long non-coding RNA is filed under the name Sus scrofa (pig). RNAcentral's name for it is "lncRNA (ENSSSCG00055011548.1)". Lineage: Eukaryota; Metazoa; Chordata; Mammalia; Artiodactyla; Suidae. The record is from RNAcentral.
UCGGGUCGUGUUCUGACAGCUAGCACUCCACUCUUGUUUGCUGCGUGCGUUCGUCGCUUGGCCCGCUUGCUGUUCUCGCAAAAGCGCGGGGCAGAGGAGAGAAAGAAGCCUCUCGUUCUCCGAGAGAGACGCAGAGGCCGCAGUCAGGGCCUGGAUAUACUCGGAGGCUCGGCUUCUCCUCUGGGUGCUCCUUGUUGCUUCCAGGGAAAGUUUAGUCUGGAUCUGAGGCCUCGUGGCGCUCUUCCUGGUUUUUCAAUUUUGGUGGAGAAAUAGAGUUUGUGGUGAAGUAAAUGGCACCGCUGGAAUCCAAACCCUAAUGAAGCAGAGUCUCUUCUUAACCACUGUCUAUACUAAAGGUAAUUUAAAACAGGGUGCAGACAACAGGAAAGCAACAACUCUGGUUUGGUCACCGUGGUGGUCUUGCCCGGCACAUGGUGGGAGUCCAGCCAGAGCUGAUGGGAGCACCACAGGCAUCUCCCCUGAUGCAGGGUAAAUUGCAGAAGCCAUGGUACCAGCCCGCAUCCAUGACCCCACAGAUAUUCCCCUUCUCCAAGUGGACUGACCCAGGCCUUUUACAAACACAGAAGGAUCUUGUGCAAGAUGAAUUCUAGUACUAGCUACUAAAAGAUCUCUUCACACAAAAGGCAAUAUUCCUGAAUUUGUAUUGGUCCAGGCAUUCGAGAAUCAAGAUGUUUUCCUGUUUCCAUGGAAGCAGAGUUCAUUUGGCUGGGAUGUUCUGAGCUUUUGCUUCCAGACCUUUGAUGCCGGGGCAUGUUGUCUUCAGCAGAGGCUCUGGCCAAGUCAGAUGCCCACGUGUCUCUGCUUGGUGAAGCCGAAUGCCUCGCCAUGACUCUGGAGAAGCUCUUUAAGUGUCUGAUGCAGUGGGAAGAGCUGAGCCACAGCUUGAUACCAGUGUUGGGCCCCAGAGUCCCCAUAUGCUGCCUCUCAAGGGUGGUAUUCAAAGUGGGUUGUUGUUCUUGUUGUUGUUUUGGUCACAUCCCAGGCGUAACUGCAGUACAACAUCACAGCCAGGAUGCUGACAUUGAUAAUCCUCCUAUCUCAUUCACAUUUCCCCGUUUUACUUGUAAUGUGUGUGUGUGUGUGUGUGUUUGUAUUUAGUUCUUUGAUGUUUUAUCACAUGUGCAGAUUAAUGUAUCUGCUACAGUCAAGAUAUAGAACACCUGAAUCCUUUGUGUUGCUCUUUGGUACCCACCUCCUCCCCAUCCCUCCACCCCAACACCUGGCAACCACUGAGCUAGUCUCCAUACUGCAAAUUUUGUGAUAUCAUUUGUUACAUAGAUGGAAUUGCCUAUUGCAUAGCUUUGGCGGAAUGGCUUUUCAUUUUCCCCCUCAAAACAUAUUUCUUUACAAUUACUACAAGCUGUUGCAUGUAUCAGUAGUUUUCUUUCUUUCUUUCUUUCUUGCUUGCUUCCUUCCUUCCUUCCUUUCUUUUUUUUUUUGGCUGAACCAGUAGUGGCAGGCAGAAGUUCUGGGACCAGGGAUCGAACCCAAGCCAUAGCAGUAACCAAAGCCACAGCAGUGACAAUGCUGUACCCUCAACUCUCUGAGCCAGCAGGACUCUCCUCAAAGUGUUUUUUUUUUUUUUUCCUUUCUUUUUAGGGCCACACCCACAGCAUAUGGAAGUUCCUGGGCUAGGGGUCAAAUUGGAGCUGCAGCUGCUGGGUUACACCACAGCCACGGCAAUGUGGGAUCCAAGCUGUGUCUGCAACCUGCACCAUGACUCACAACAACACCCAGAUCCUUAACGCACUAAAUAAGUGCAGGGAUCGAACCCUUAUCCUCAUGGAUACUAGUUGGGUUCAUAAUCACUGAGCCACAAUGGGAAGCCCCCAAAGUGGGGUUUUGGAAGAUAGUAGGAUUAUUCUAGGCUCAGAUUAAAGUCAGGUGGGUAAGCAUCAUUGCACAGGGAGGAAAAAGUGUGAGCCAGAUGGUGAAGGCAGGAAAGUUAGAGCCCUCUUUGGGAAGGAGAUGGCGAUAUUGUAGGAACCAGCUUGGGGUUUGUUUGGGAGGGACAGCAGCAGGCUCUCUCCCUGCCUCGUGUCACUUCCCUAUGUCCUUCCUGUGAUUUGGGGGCCUCUGUGGUGCAUGGCCACCUGUAUGCAGGCAGCACCAGCAUCUUGUCCCUCUUGCUCUGUCUCAGGGCUCUCUCCUGGGUGCAGGAGAGCACUCAGCCUGCUUGCAGGAGCAUCUCAGCCCGCAGGCAGCCCCCAGCCCAGGGGAGGAGGGUUGGUGGACCACACCAUGACAUGUGGUCUACACACGUCCUUUGAGGGGUGAGCCCGGUGCCCACAGUGGUAACCAGUGCGAUAACGCUGUUUAACCCUUUCGAUACCCUCACACUUGCCUGGGCUCAUCUUGCAAAGAAGUCACCUGCAUGUGAUUUAUGAGCAUGGAGGAAACUACUGAAGGGUACGCGGUUGUUGGGAUGAUUGCUUGGUGCAGCGUAGGGAAGGUAAGCAGGAGAGGGAAUGGGCAUAAAAUAUACUCAAACCAAACAAAACUACCCAUUAGACACAGCAUGCUGAGUUUUUUGUUUGUUUGUUUUUGUUUUUGCCUUUUUCUUUUUGCCUUUUAGGGCUGCACUUGGAGCAUAUGGAUGUUCCCAGACUAGGAGUUGAACCAGAGCUGUAGCUGUUGGCCUACGCUGCAGCCACAGCAAUGCCAGAUCCGAGCUGAGUCUGUGACCCACACCACAGCUCAUGGCAAUGCUGGAUCUCCAAUCCAGUGAGCGAAGCCAGGGAUCGAACCUGCAUCCCCAUGGAUACUAGUUGAAUUCAUUUCUGCUGGACCUCGACGGGAACUCCCACAUGCUGGGUUCUUUGAUAGACAAUCUGUAAGGAAAAGAGAAAGGUAGAGAGGAAACCUAUGCCGAGAAGAAAUGAAGACUUCUCAAAAAACUUUUUAAUUAAAAAAAUUAUUGAUUUAUUUAUUUUUGGCCAUGCCUGAGGCACGUGGAAGGUCCUGGGCCAGGGAUUGAACCUUGCACCACAGCAGUGACAACAUCAGAUUCUUAACUGCUAGGCCACCAGGGAACUCUCAAAAUUUUUUUUAAAUGGACCAGACCAAGCUAUAGUGUUUAGGAUUUCAUAGUUGAGUGAUAAGACCAUAAAGAAACACAAAGAAGGGAGUAUCACUGAAGUCACAAUAGUGAUUACUUUUUUUAAAGGGAGACAGGUAGUGGCUAUCAUGGGACAUUUGAUGGAAAUUUCUAAGCUGCAAAGUUCUAUUUUUUUGAUCUGGGUGGUAGUUAUAAUAAUUCAUUGAAGAGUACAUUUAUUUUGAAUAGUUUUUCUGCAUUUGUAUUCUAUUUUACUUUGCAAAAGAAAG